GCUCCACAACCUAACAUUGGGCUCUCUCGUUUGAUUUAUAACAUUGGUGCUUUCAUUGAGAGUCUCACGCGUUGGAUCGUGACUCGGAAUGGUGGCCUGCGUGCCAGGAGUGGUGAUCUGGACCCAAGAGGGAUGCCAGUUGUGACUAACUGGGUGUAACCGUGACUAACGAGGAUCGAUCCACGUGUGGAGCCGCGUGUUGGGCCGUGACUCGGAGUGGUGGCCUGCGUGCCAAGAGUACUGGUGGUCUGGAUCCAAGAGGGAUGCCAGCCGUGACUAACU
RNAcentral lists this long non-coding RNA (282 nucleotides) under Capsicum annuum. RNAcentral describes it as "long non-coding RNA (CANN_LNC009330)". Lineage: Eukaryota; Viridiplantae; Streptophyta; Magnoliopsida; Solanales; Solanaceae. The record is from RNAcentral.